RNAcentral lists this ribosomal RNA (460 nucleotides) under uncultured bacterium. RNAcentral describes it as "partial 16S ribosomal RNA". It matches the Rfam family "Bacterial small subunit ribosomal RNA", at positions 338 to 795 of the family's 1533-position model. The record is from RNAcentral.
CCUACGGGUGGCAGCAGUGAGGAAUAUUGGUCAAUGGGCGCGAGCCUGAACCAGCCAAGUAGCGUGAAGGAUGACUGCCCUACGGGUUGUAAACUUCUUUUAUAAAGGAAUAAUGUGAUGCACGUGUGCCUUUUUGUAUGUACUUUAUGAAUAAGGAUCGGCUAACUCCGUGCCAGCAGCCGCGGUAAUACGGAGGAUCCGAGCGUUAUCCGGAUUUAUUGGGUUUAAAGAGAGCGUAGAUGGGUUGUUAAGUCAGUUGUGAAAGUUUGCGGCUCAACCGUAAAAUUGCAAUUGAUACUGGCAGUCUUGAGUACAGUUGAGGUAGGAGGAAUUCGUGGUGUAGCGGUGAAAUGCUGAGAUAUCACGAAGAACUCCGAUUGCGAAGGCAGCCUACUAAACUGCCACUGACAUUGAUGCUCGAAAGUGAGGGUAUCAAACAGGAUUAGAUACCCGUGUAGUC